CCUACGGGAGGCAGCAGUGGGGAAUAUUGGACAAUGGGCGAAAGCCUGAUCCAGCAAUGCCGCGUGAGUGAUGAAGGCCUUCGGGUCGUAAAGCUCUUUUACCAGGGAUGAUAAUGACAGUACCUGGAGAAUAAGCUCCGGCUAACUCCGUGCCAGCAGCCGCGGUAAUACGGAGGGAGCUAGCGUUGUUCGGAAUUACUGGGCGUAAAGAGUACGUAGGCGGUUAUUCAAGUCAGAGGUGAAAGCCCGGGGCUCAACCCCGGAACUGCCUUUGAAACUAGAUAACUAGAGUCUUGGAGAGGUUAGUGGAAUUCCGAGUGUAGAGGUGAAAUUCGUAGAUAUUCGGAAGAACACCAGUGGCGAAGGCGACUAACUGGACAAGUACUGACGCUGAGGUACGAAAGCGUGGGGAGCAAACAGGAUUAGAUACCCUGGUAGCCCACGCCGUAAACGAUGAUAACUAGUUGUUCGGUCACUUGGUGACUGAGUGACGCAGCUAACGCAUUAAGUUAUCCGCCUGGGGAGUACGGUCGCAAGNUUAAAACUCAAAUGAAUUGACGGCNGAGACGNGCGAGACGACGACGAGGAGAG
This 591-nucleotide ribosomal RNA is filed under the name uncultured bacterium. Its description in RNAcentral is "bacterial SSU rRNA". It matches the Rfam family "Bacterial small subunit ribosomal RNA", at positions 338 to 945 of the family's 1533-position model. The record is from RNAcentral.